Molecule: long non-coding RNA, 303 nt
Organism: Labrus mixtus (cuckoo wrasse)
Lineage: Eukaryota; Metazoa; Chordata; Actinopteri; Labriformes; Labridae
Exons: 2
Source: RefSeq, a predicted model, not a curated record
UUUUUUUUUUUACUGUGAGAUCAAACCUGCACUGAUGCUGUGUUAAUUAACUGAACACACACACACUGUUCAGCUGAGUAGCACGGUGUGUGUGAGUGUGUGUGAGUGUGUGUGUGUGUGUGUGUGUGUGUGUGUGUGUGUGUACAGAUAAUCAGACACACAGUUGGUCCAUCCUACUCAUAAAAAGGCCUUUUUACAUGAACAACUCCACACUGUCUCAUCAAGUGUUCACUUUCUGGGUUUUUGUUUGUUUUGUUUUUUGAGGGAGAUUAUAAUGUUUCAUAAAUAAAAUAAUAAAAAAGA